GAGAAAUUAGUUAAAAUAUAACAUUAGAUUGUCAUUCUAAAAUUUUUAUUUCUUC
This 55-nucleotide transfer RNA is filed under the name Songthela hangzhouensis. Its description in RNAcentral is "tRNA-Asp". Lineage: Eukaryota; Metazoa; Arthropoda; Arachnida; Araneae; Liphistiidae. The record is from RNAcentral.